UGAAAUCACUUGUGUGUCACUCGUGAUGUCGUAAGGGAAAAUAAUGAUAGUACCUUACUAAUAGUGUCGUCAAAUGCUGGUGCCAGAAGACUCGGUAACACCAGUAACGCAAACGUUAAUCAUCAUAAACAGGCGUAAAGGGUUUGUAGGCUGCUUUAAUUAUUUAAAGCUAGAAUCAAAAAGAGGUUAAGACAUAUAAUACUUAGAGUUAGGGCUAAUAUCCUCAGAUACUAAGGGGAAUACUUAGGGCGAAAGCAAUUAACCAGUAAUGAUUGACGCUGAGAAACGAAGGUGAGGAAAGGAAAUAGGAUUAGAUACCCCGGUACCCCUCUCUGUCAACGAUGAAUGGUAGUCUUUAGUAAAAAUUUCUGGAGGCGUAGUUAACACGUUAACCAUUCCGCCUUGUGAGUACGAUUGCAAAAUUUUAGUCGGUCUCGAAGCAAACGAAGUGAAGCAUGUUAUUUAAUACGAUAACCCGCGUAAAACCUUACCAGUUCUUG
This 500-nucleotide ribosomal RNA is filed under the name Fomitopsis malicola. RNAcentral describes it as "SSU rRNA". It matches the Rfam family "Bacterial small subunit ribosomal RNA", at positions 409 to 983 of the family's 1533-position model. Lineage: Eukaryota; Fungi; Basidiomycota; Agaricomycetes; Polyporales; Fomitopsidaceae. The record is from RNAcentral.